AGCCUUCCACUUUAAAAAGGCUGUUUAAUUUGUGACAUAUUUCUGGGGAAGGCAGUGAGAAGUAGUUAGGAACAAAAACUACACCCAUUUAAUAGGUGGCAGUGGGCAGAACUGAGAAAGCAGGAGCAGACGAUCCGGAUAACAUUUGAAAGUGAUCGACUCAGAACUGCCGUCAGGACAUGCUUCCAGGCACCUGUGCCUCCAGGGCCAUCCUUCCUGCCUCCAGCUCCAAGUCAUGGGGAGUCACUGCCCUCACACCUUCAAACUCAUCUGAUCGUUUCUGCCCAUUAUUCCCCAGGCUUUGGCCCAGUGCCUCCUACUGGGAAACCUGUUCUGAGGUGGAAAAACCUGUGAGACUGGGAAGGUCCCCCCUUGAAUCUUUUAACUCAGAGGGUCCCUGACAGUGAGAUGCUUUUAAAGCCACAAUCCAGCUACUACUGGGAAAAGAGAAGAAAGGCUAAUGUGAAACUGGAGGGGUUUUUAAGUGUGGAGCCCGUGUUUAUGCUUGCUAGUGUCGACCCCUAGAUAUAGUGAGAGGGCCUGGGAAUAGUCAGAGCCCCUGUUGUUGAUGUAAAGGGAUUUCUUCUUUAAAAGUGAAGCUAAGUGGAGGGAAAGGGUGUUCUGUAGGCACGGACCACAGCUUAGCCUCCAAUAAUCACUUU
Molecule: long non-coding RNA, 662 nt
Organism: Pipistrellus kuhlii (Kuhl's pipistrelle)
Lineage: Eukaryota; Metazoa; Chordata; Mammalia; Chiroptera; Vespertilionidae
Exons: 2
Source: RefSeq, a predicted model, not a curated record